Molecule: ribosomal RNA, 497 nt
Filed under: uncultured bacterium
Lineage: Bacteria
Description: partial 16S ribosomal RNA
Rfam family: Bacterial small subunit ribosomal RNA
Source: RNAcentral
GAUGAACGCUGGCGGCGUGCCUAAUACAUGCAAGUCGAGCGAACGGACGAGAAGCUUGCUUCUCUGAUGUUAGCGGCGGACGGGUGAGUAACACGUGGAUAACCUACCUAUAAGACUGGGAUAACUUCGGGAAACCGGAGCUAAUACUGGAUAAUAUUUUGAACCGCAUGGUUCAAAAGUGAAAGACGGUCUUGCUGUCACUUAUAGAUGGAUCCGCGCUGCAUUAGCUAGUUGGUAAGGUAACGGCUUACCAAGGCAACGAUGCAUAGCCGACCUGAGAGGGUGAUCGGCCACACUGGAACUGAGACACGGUCCAGACUCCUACGGGAGGCAGCAGUAGGGAAUCUUCCGCAAUGGGCGAAAGCCUGACGGAGCAACGCCGCGUGAGUGAUGAAGGUCUUCGGAUCGUAAAACUCUGUUAUUAGGGAAGAACAUAUGUGUAAGUAACUGUGCACAUCUUGACGGUACCCAAUCAGAAAGCCACGGCUAACUACGUG